This 451-nucleotide ribosomal RNA is filed under the name uncultured bacterium. Its description in RNAcentral is "partial 16S ribosomal RNA". It matches the Rfam family "Bacterial small subunit ribosomal RNA", at positions 354 to 796 of the family's 1533-position model. The record is from RNAcentral.
GUGGGGAAUAUUGGACAAUGGGGGGAACCCUGAUCCAGCCAUGCCGCGUGUGUGAAGAAGGCCUUUUGGUUGUAAAGCACUUUAAGCGAGGAGGAGGCUACCGAGAUUAAUACUCUUGGAUAGUGGACGUUACUCGCAGAAUAAGCACCGGCUAACUCUGUGCCAGCAGCCGCGGUAAUACAGAGGGUGCAAGCGUUAAUCGGAUUUACUGGGCGUAAAGCGCGCGUAGGUGGCCAAUUAAGUCAAAUGUGAAAUCCCCGAGCUUAACUUGGGAAUUGCAUUCGAUACUGGUUGACUAGAGUAUGGGAGAGGAUGGUAGAAUUCCAGGUGUAGCGGUGAAAUGCGUAGAGAUCUGGAGGAAUACCGAUGGCGAAGGCAGCCAUCUGGCCUAAUACUGACACUGAGGUGCGAAAGCAUGGGGAGCAAACAGGAUUAGAUACCCUGGUAGUCC